UGCCAGCAGCCGCGGUAAUACGGAGGGUGCAAGCGUUAAUCGGAAUUACUGGGCGUAAAGCGCGCGUAGGCGGAUGUUUAAGUUUCAUGUGAAAGCCCUGGGCUCAACCCCGGAAGUGCAUUGGAAACUGGCGAACUUGAGUACGGGAGAGGAAAGUGGAAUUCCGAGUGUAGGGGUGAAAUCCGUAGAUAUUCGGAGGAACACCAGUGGCGAAGGCGGCUUUCUGGCUCGAUACUGACGCUGAGGUGCGAAGGCGUGGGUAGCGAACGGGAUUAGAUA
RNAcentral lists this ribosomal RNA (279 nucleotides) under uncultured bacterium. RNAcentral's name for it is "partial 16S ribosomal RNA". It matches the Rfam family "Bacterial small subunit ribosomal RNA", at positions 506 to 784 of the family's 1533-position model. The record is from RNAcentral.